This 6543-nucleotide unclassified non-coding RNA is filed under the name Orussus abietinus. RNAcentral describes it as "wD repeat-containing protein 82, transcript variant X1". The record is from RNAcentral. Lineage: Eukaryota; Metazoa; Arthropoda; Insecta; Hymenoptera; Orussidae.
GGGGGAUUGCUUCCUCGAUCGCGCAUCGUGUCGUCAGCGCCUUAUCCGAAGCCACGGAGUGUCGAGUUUUUCCCCGGAGCUUGAUCCCUGAGUCGCGAUCAGCCAUUUCUAAACAGUUGGUAGGAUUUGUGUGAGCGUGCGUGCAUAGGUGCGCCAAGCCUCGUCGAUCGGGUCGAAAGAAUCCGCACCGCGCUCGGAUUAGCCCGCGACUUAACCUCUGAUGCCAAUGGCCUGACCGUACACGAGCCGGCGCCUCGUCUCUUCGCUUCGGCCUCCUGCGGGUGCCCUUCAUCGUCCUCGUGAGUCCUGAGCCUCGCCGUACCUGCAACGGCCUUUGUUUCUCCACCGGGGAACCGUUUCCUGGCCGCGCCGCCCGGACUCUCGGACAGCCGUCUCGUGCCCGCGACGACGGGCUAACCUCAAAAGCGCAAGGCUCCGCCGAGCGCCGCGACACCUCGACCUGACCCUCGUCGUCAUGAAGCUCAUCGACCACGUGGUGCGCAGCUUCAAAGUGGCGAAAGUGUUCCGAGAAAACACCGACCGCAUCAAUAGCAUCGACUUCUCGCCCAGCGGCGACACCUUAAUAUCCUGCUCCGAGGAUGAUCAAAUCGUCAUCUACGACUGCGAGAAGGGCACGCAGGUCCGCACCGUCAACUCGAAGAAGUACGGAGUGGACCUGAUUCACUUCACCCAUGCCAAGAACACUGCCAUACACAGCAGCACCAAGGUCGACGAUACCAUACGAUACCUCAGUCUGCACGAUAAUAAAUAUAUCAGAUACUUUCCAGGACACACGAAAAAGGUCGUCUCGCUGUGCAUUAGCCCUAUCGAGGAUACCUUUCUCUCGGGCUCGUUGGACAAGUCGCUGCGCCUUUGGGAUCUGCGCUCUCCAAAUUGUCACGGAGUUAUGAACGUCUCGGGCAGACCGGUGGCUGCGUAUGACCCGGAGGGAUUGAUAUUUGCGGCGGGGGUCAAUUCAGAGUGUAUUAAGUUGUACGACUUGAGGAGCUUCGACAAGGGGCCGUUCGUUACGUUCAAGCUGUCGCAGGAGAAGGAGUGCGACUGGACUGGACUCAAGUUUAGCAGAGAUGGGAAGACGAUUCUUAUUUCCACUAAUGGGAGUAUCAUUCGACUCGUUGACGCUUUCCAUGGUACACCACUGCAGACAUUUGCAGGUUAUCUGAACAACAAAGGCAUCGCCAUCGAGGCGAGCUUUAGUCCAGACUCCCAGUUUGUCUUUAGUGGCUCAACGGAUGGACGUGUCCAUGUCUGGUAUGCGGAUACUGGGUAUAAGGUCUGCGUUCUCAAAGGGGACCAUCCGGCUCCUGUUCAGUGCAUCCAGUUUAAUCCAAAGUAUAUGAUGUUGGCAUCUGCGUGCACUAAUAUGGCUUUCUGGCUGCCCACUGUGGAGGACACGGCGUAAAGGAACCAAUGACCGGUCUUUGGUGAUACACAAUGAGGAAGGAAGUCGAGAAUGGACAGCGAGGAUCGUGCACGGCGAAACGACUUCGGUGCGGCCGUUGGCAUUGUCUCUAUUUAAAGAAAAAACGUUGCAUUUAAAACUAAGUACAUUAGCAAACCUGCAAAUGGAAGAGGCAUCGAUUGGAAUGCACUUUGAUGUGAGGCGGAAACGAACAUAGGCGAUGUCUUGAUGUUCACCCGAUAAUGACAUGCUGGCAUUCUACUCCGAGGAUAAUGAGAUUCAUCUAGGGAUGCCAGAAAUGUAAACAUGUGUGUACUAUCGAUUCAAAGAGACAAGGCUUAGGCAUGAUUCACUUCGGCUAGGAUGAGAAUUCAUCCUAAUUAACGGUAUCCCUGAUAUUCCGAUCUGAACGAUAAUGACAUUACUUGAUACUUUCCAUCACGUAUUAAGAUUGAAAGGCAUGGUAGCGCUUGAACAAGUUCAAGUCUUUUAUUUACACCGAAGAUGUUUCUUUCAUGAGUCUCACUGUACACCGAGUCAUUAAGGAUGUAUUCACGUCUGGAUUAUAUUCCAAGAAUUGGAAUAACUAAAAGGAUCGUUGAAGUGGGCCUUCAUUUGGAAUUCAACUUUGUUUCAAAUGGCCUGUCGGAACAGUCAUCGAAGGUACUAAACCCAUGUUCAUCGGUAUUGAAUUCCAAUAACCCAAUGUGAAUAUAUCCAACAUGGUGAGAAAUGUUCACAUGAACUGUGCAGAUCGCGUAUAACUGGUCAACUCGCAUAUCAAUUUAUCUUCCUAUGAUGAGGUUUGAGAAUCCAUGCCGAAAGGAUUGCAAGUGUGCAAGACAUUGGCUAGGACAUCCCGUAGUGCUAAGUGAAAAUGAAGGUUGCCUGCCUCACCUGUCCAGUGCUAUUGUAUCAGUUUAACAUUUGUACUUUGCAUCAGAUAACGCUCCACUGGGAAUUUGCUUCGGUGGACUCUUUAUAAUGUCAUGUCAUUAUUUCAUGGCGCGAUGAACGCGACCAUCUACACGAACGGAACUCGCGACAGUAGCGAGGCAGUCUCGUAUGUUGCACGCUACGAAGUAUAUCUCGCUAGUAUUUCGGAUAUAUCGUCCCGUGUACAUAGUCUCCUCCUGUACCUGCGUUUAGCAUUUUAAUACUAGUACUUUAUGUCGCUUCAUUUCGAGUACAUGGAAUACUUUUAAUUUCUGCAUAUUAACUCCAAGAGAUAACCAAGUACAUGGCUCGAGUCUGAUCAUUCUUUGGAAACUUUUUGAAUUUUUUUUUUGUAUUGCAGCGCUGUCUUAGAUUCAGACACACUCGAAUGUAGGGCAAAGUCUUUGCACUGUUUCAAACUGCUCAUCUUCUGUCACAGAGUGCAUCUGAAUUCAACAAAUAGAAUUCGAGGAAUGCUUAAGAUGUCAGCCAUGUAAUGUCAGUCUUUGUUCCAUUAACAGAAGUUGUCAUCAAACUGACUUGGCAACCUAUCCUUUUUCUUUUUCAUUUUUUUCUUUAUGCGACGUCGAUUGCUAGUUGUCAUUAACUGCAACCGAAUCUUUGCGCUUGACAGGAUCCAAGUGAUGACGCUCUCUUGAUGUUUCAACUGAGGACCGUUAAGGGAACUAUUGGAGUAGGAUAAGAUGGUUUUUAUUAGAUGGGUUUUUUCAUUCGGUUUAGGAAUUUAUAGGUCCGACGUUUAACUUGGAGAACUUAAGGGGCCGAAUCCUCUGGUAUUCAAUUUGAAACACAGUGAACGAUUAAUGUCAUUCGGUACAAUGCUUUCUGUCGGAUGCAGAAAAGGGUUCGGAGCAUAACUAUGCAUCGUCGUUUGUUGUAAAUAUGACACGUAAUUAUUUCCAUUAGGUUUUUAACGUUGAUAACGAUAAUCCUUAUAUAAUGUUAAGACAACAAUGUGGUUCUUUUUUGUCAGAAGAAAAGAAAAGGAAAAAAAACACGUAAGAGCAUGCGUGCGAUGGACGUGUCCUUGAUGUCCGAUGUAUGUCGGUGUACGAAUGUGAGUGCGUAAGAGUGCCACUGUAAAAUAGUAUUUUUUAUAACGGCAACAAGCGUAUAAUCGAAAGUGUACCCGAGUAAACGGACUUGCCGGAAGGCUAAUGUCAAACGUCGAAGUGUCAAAAUGACAGGUGUAAACUUGGCGGUGUGGAAGACCUCGUUAGAGAUUUGUCUCGAGUGUACGUGAGUGAACACAAUUCACCGGAGAGCUGCGUCGAGAGAAACCAAAGUCAGAGAAUUCGACUCGAUUGAACGAUGGAUCUUCAUUGUAUGCGCAUGCAAAGAGAAGACAGGAAAAGUCUCGGCAGUUUCAAGAGUUGUUACGGCAGGCUGUGAUUACAUUCUAGACUCAGACAUACUGUAAAGCCAGUGAACGUUGAAGCAAUUGAUGACAUCGGUGUGAAAAUUGUGAAACGGAACGUCAUACAGUUUUGUUAUUGUAUACUUGUUUUGUAAUCUACAAGUUGACAGUUGGCACGGUUCUGGAAUGUAACCGGCAGAAAUAGCGUAACAAUCUCAUGGAAUUGGUUUUUGAACGGAGAAUUUUUUCUCUUCUCUGUGUCACCUCGAGAAGGGCUUUUCGAGAUUAGGAUCAGCGCCGCAUCGAGUCUCGACUCCAUCCAGGCCGGCGCUUUGAAAUCGAGUAACAAAGUGUCAUCGUAGUAAGAGCCCUAGUGUUUGAAAUCUCGUCUCGGAGUAAGACUCGAAUGGACCUUCAACGUUGCGCUCUUUCCUGACUUCGAAAGUGCUGUGUCGUAGCGAAGAUAACCUUAUGCUUCCUCGAGGAAAGGUAUAUUCAGUGCGUCGUGUGAACGUGUCGUUGAACGACAUACUGCCAGGCUAAUCUCGCGUUUAAUGCACUUUAAAUGGCUUUAAGCUCUCGUUUCUUCGCCUUUAAAACAACCACAACCUGUCGAACGUUCCGCUUUCUUUGUUCGAACACCUGCGAAUCCUUCAGGGCAUUAGUUAGUUCGGUCCAUGGUAAACUUGAUGGUAGGAUAUAACUCUGUCUCGAAGUCUAAAAUCCUUUUAGUCGGUAUACAUUAUUAUAUACCUCUGUCGUUGUCUUCGAAGUCAAACAGUAAGCGCUGUCAAAGCUCUCGUAGUGAAUCGAGGCUGUCUGUCCAGGAGAGACGAGGAUGCUCCGUGUCAAAAAACUAACUCAGUUGAUUUUUAUACUUAUAAUUUCUGCUAGGACUUUGGAAAUUUGACAAGUAAAAUUUUUACGACUAAAUUUCUCUGAAGAAAUAUUGUUUAUUCGGUGUAACCUCCUCUUUGUUGACAAGUAAGACUAGAUACCCGUCUCUCCUUAAAUUAUAGAAGCUAAUAGAUUUAGAAUGUUAAGAAGUUUAGGAUAAGGAAAUGUGACAUCGUAUCUUUGCUUCGAAGGCCAAUACGACCCAUGACAUCCAUGUCCUUUGUAAAAGUACAUGUGAAAAGGUUUUUUUGCUUUGGAGACAAGUUACGAAAGGCUCUGGUCGAUUCGAAUUAGACUCCGUGCUACCUUUCUAAAUAGGAUUGCCACCUUCAAGAGGGAGUUCUUUACACUUCUGUACACUUUGACUUCUUCUGUCUCGAUAAUACUUUUUAAUGGAUUAUAUUUCUUUGGUCGAAGCACAAAAGCACUCUUCGAGGACUAUCCAGUUGUUAAAAUUUGAUCGGUCGAUUAAGCGACUCUUAAGUUGAGUUACAAUGUGCUCCGGCCAGUGAAAUUGUUUACAAAAAAAACUGUUUCUUCCUCGUUGUUUUCUCCAUUUUUUCCUCUUUCUUUUUGUAAAUUUGGGAGUAAUGACCGUUGCAUCCAGUAGACGUAGUCCUGGGGCAAACUGUUCCUUUUUAAUUCCCAAGUAAUACCGCUGGCGAAAUAAAUAUUUUAUAUAAAAGUAAGUAACAGAUUAGGUUUAAAAGAAAUUGACAAAUGUCCACCUGGUAUAGGUAUACAUUGUAUUAUACGUAUUUUGUAAGCGCGAUAAAAUUUGGUUGUAUGAAUGAUUUAAGAGAAGGUUUAAAUAUUUAAGCGACGUGUAAAUCGUGGUCAAGUAUAGCGGAAACUUUUAUUUUAAAUACAGACGCAUUAUUUAACUAUCCGAACUUUAUUUAUGUCUUCGGUAUUCCCAAGCUCCAAUACUAGAAUUAAUUGGUAUUUAGACCUCGACGAGGUUUUAGUUACAGCAAUUACUAGAAAUCUGUGAAACUCGGUAAAUUGACAAUAGGUGUGUACUUCUUUGCAAUAGAGAUUAACUGAUAUUAAUCAAAUUAUUAUAAUUUCCUAUUUUGAUUACUUUUCAGCAUUAUCGAUAGCAUUCGUACUUAUGAGAAUUAUGUUUUCCAGCAUUUAUUAAUUCAUUCUGCAUUCGUAGUGCCAAAAGUCAUGGCUGAAAGGCGUACAAUUGAAUGUUUAUUCAAUUAUCCUUUCCAAUGCAUGCGCAGGGAAGAUAACUUUAAUCAUCUUCGAUCUAUUCGCUGUUCAUCGUUCCAGUAACAAAACUUAGGAAUAUAAUGCUGGCAUGUAAAUGUACUUUUGAGUGCUUCUUUACAUGCCUUUAAUUAACAGGAUUGGAAACUAAAGCUGAUAAAAAGUGAAAAUUUGGCAUUUUAAUAGCAGCUUAAAUAUUUAAGUAUCUUUUACGUCAUUACAGUCGAACUUGUAUACGUAUAAUAAUUAUGUUAGCCAGGUGCUAUCUAGUGGAAUCUUAUUAAAUUGAGAUGCAUUUUCACCGUAUUUCGGAGGUCAUUCCUAAAAUCUUUCACUCGAGCUGUAUUACUUGGGUUUUCUUUCCCUUCGUUAAGAUACAACGCCCAUGGCUUUUAUAUGUAUUUGGCGCGAAACUCUACAGAGUUUUCCGAUAAGUCCGGGCUGUGUUCACAAUCGAGGAAAUCUCGUUCUCCUUUUAUAAACAAGAAACAAACACGUGUGUCGCCGUACUUGGAAUUUCUUCAAGAACUGAAUGUGACAAUUAGACUUUUUUUUUCUUAACGUACCGCAGAAAAGUCAUUCGAUUACUAACUUAAGAUGCACGACAAAUGGUAUUUUUAUUUUUAUGUACGAUGUCUAGAUGGCCGUUCGAAAUUGAAUUGUGAAUAAAAUAAGUUUAUUUUGUAAAGCC